Molecule: ribosomal RNA, 1056 nt
Filed under: Megophrys synoria
Lineage: Eukaryota; Metazoa; Chordata; Amphibia; Anura; Megophryidae
Description: partial large subunit ribosomal RNA
Rfam family: Bacterial large subunit ribosomal RNA
Source: RNAcentral
UGGUUACUCAAGAAAAGAAUUUUAGUUCUUUCUUAAGGAACUAUAUCUCGCAAUAUUUAAGCAUUCCAAAGUCCUUAAGACUUAUUCAAUAAGGGUACAGCCUUAUUGAAAAAGGACACAACCUAAAACUCAGGUUAACGAAUUUUCUAAAAAACAGAAGUUAGUUGGCUUAAGAGCAGCCACCUUUUAAAUAGCGUCAAAGCUUACUUUCCUUACCUAUUUCCUCAAUUCCUAAAACUUUUCAGAACCCGAUUUUUCUAUUGAGUCGUUCUAUAAUCUUAUAGAAGUGUUUAUGUUAGAACUAGUAACACAGAAUAAUUUCUUUAUAUGUACGUGUAAAUCAGAUCGAAUAAAUCACUGAUAAUUAUCAGUUAUGAACAUAAUGUAGCAACUUCACUAGAAAACCCUACCACAUACUCUACUGUUAAUCUAACACAAGAACAUUAGAAAAAGAUUUAAAGACAAAGAAGGAACUCGGCAAAUAUGAAUUCCGCCUGUUUACCAAAAACAUCGCCUUUUGAACUCUAUAAAAGGUAUUGCCUGCCCAGUGACUAUAUGUUUAACGGCCGUGGUAUUUUGACCACGCAAAGGUAGCGUAAUCACUUGUUUUUUAAAUAAAGACUAGUAUGAAUGGCUUCACGAGAAUUCAACUGUCUCCUUUGUCUAAUCAGUGAAACUGAUCCCCUCGUGCAGAAACGAGGAUAGUAUCAUAAGACGAGAAGACCCUAUGGAGCUUUAAACCCAUAUCAACAAGUUCACUCCUUAAAAAAUAAUACUAAUUUAACUUGCUCGAUUAAAGUUUUAGGUUGGGGCGACCAUGGAGAAAAAAUAAUCCUCCACGAUGAUUUUAACUAAGAGCUACAGCUCUAAGUAUUAAGACACUUAACUCAUAUUGACCCAUUUUUUGAUCAACGAACUAAGUUACCCUAGGGAUAACAGCGCAAUCCAUUUUAAGAGUCCCUAUCGACAAAUGGGUUUACGACCUCGAUGUUGGAUCAGGGCACCCAAGUGGUGCAACCGCUACUAAAGGUUCGUUUGUUCAACGAUUAAAGCCCU